UAGCCUAGUGAUUAAGGCAAUGGAUCGCCAAUCCGGAGACGGUGGGUUCAAUUCCCGU
Molecule: non-coding RNA, 58 nt
Organism: Aedes albopictus (Asian tiger mosquito)
Lineage: Eukaryota; Metazoa; Arthropoda; Insecta; Diptera; Culicidae
Source: Rfam